AAUAAAAAAGAUGAAAUAAAAAACCAUUCCUUUAACAACAUGAAAUAAAAUUAUGUUUAACAAAAAGAAAAUUCAUAAGAAAUAUAGUGACAAAUAUAUUACAAAUUGGAAAGAAAAGUUUAAGAAAAAUAUAGUGACAAAUGUAUUACAAGGGCUGAGAUCGAUCGGAAAGGGAAGAGGGGGUAGUGUCCGUUCGUUUGGGUCCGAUCUUGUGGCCGAUGGCGGCCUGUGGUGGUGACAGUGGCUGCAAGAAAAAUGAUUGGACGGUGGGCGCGGGCUGCGCUCGCGGGAGAGAGAGAGAGGGAGAGAGAGAAACUGAGGGAGAAGAGAGAGAAGUGAGGUUUUUGUAAAAUCUGAUUUUUCAAAUUACCGUUUUGUCCCUCGGAGUAUUUUAACCGUAUCUCCUUCGUUAAAGCUCCGAUUCGAGCCUACUUCGUGUCUACGAACUCAUUUCGUCGUGCUCUACGCAACGGUGUGUGUAGAAUUGUCAAAUUCCUUCUCGG
Molecule: long non-coding RNA, 503 nt
Filed under: Prunus persica (peach)
Lineage: Eukaryota; Viridiplantae; Streptophyta; Magnoliopsida; Rosales; Rosaceae
Description: long non-coding RNA (PPER_LNC004977)
Source: RNAcentral